RNAcentral lists this ribosomal RNA (253 nucleotides) under uncultured bacterium. RNAcentral's name for it is "partial 16S ribosomal RNA". It matches the Rfam family "Bacterial small subunit ribosomal RNA", at positions 524 to 776 of the family's 1533-position model. The record is from RNAcentral.
UACGAACUGUGCAAACGUUAUUCGGAUUCACUGGGCUUAAAGGGUGCGUAGGCGGCCAUGUAAGUAGGGUGUGAAAUCCCCCGGCUUAGCCGGGGAACUGCGCCCUAAACUGUAUGGCUGGAGUGAGAUAGGGGUGUGUGGAACUUCCGGUGGAGCGGUGAAAUGUGUUGAUAUCGGAAGGAACGCCGGUGGCGAAAGCGACACACUGGGUCUCAACUGACGCUGAGGCACGAAAGCCAGGGGAGCGAACGGG